UACGGAGGGAGCUAGCGUUGUUCGGAAUUACUGGGCGUAAAGCGCGCGUAGGCGGCUUCGUAAGUCCGUUGUGAAAGUCAAAGGCUCAACCUUUGAAAGCCGAUGGAUACUGCGGAGCUAGAGUACGGAAGAGGCGAGUGGAAUUCCUGGUGUAGCGGUGGAAUGCGCAGAUAUCAGGAGGAACACCAAUAGCGAAGGCAGCUCGCUGGGACGUUACUGACACUGAGGCGCGAAAGCGUGGGGAGCGAACAGG
Molecule: ribosomal RNA, 253 nt
Filed under: uncultured bacterium
Lineage: Bacteria
Description: partial 16S ribosomal RNA
Rfam family: Bacterial small subunit ribosomal RNA
Source: RNAcentral